RNAcentral lists this ribosomal RNA (433 nucleotides) under uncultured bacterium. Its description in RNAcentral is "partial 16S ribosomal RNA". It matches the Rfam family "Bacterial small subunit ribosomal RNA", at positions 29 to 507 of the family's 1533-position model. The record is from RNAcentral.
AACGAACGCUGGCGGCAGGCUUAACACAUGCAAGUCGAACGGAUCCUUCGGGAUUAGUGGCAGACGGGUGAGUAACGCGUGGGAACGUACCCUUUGCUACGGAAUAACUCAGGGAAACUUGAGCUAAUACCGUAUGUGCCCUACGGGGGAAAGAUUUAUCGGCAAAGGAUCGGCCCGCGUUGGAUUAGCUAGUUGGUGGGGUAAUGGCCUACCAAGGCGACGAUCCAUAGCUGGUCUGAGAGGAUGAUCAGCCACACUGGGACUGAGACACGGCCCAGACUCCUACGGGAGGCAGCAGUCGGGAAUAUUGGACACUGGGCGCAAGCCUGAUCCAGCCAUGCCGCGUGAGUGAUGAAGGUCUUAGGAUUGUAAAGCUCUUUCACCGGUGAAGAUAAUGACGGUAGCCGGAGAAGAAGCCCCGGCUAACUUCGUG